AUCAGAUCCCACCCCAGCUUUACAUGGAAUUCUGGGGGAUUGUGCUGAUCCAGCUGAGAGCAGAACUGGCCCAGUGCAUGAUUCUGGAAAAGCCACUGAAUUUAACUCACAGUUUUUUAGGAGCUCUCCCAGAGGAAAAGCGUGGGCUGCACAAAUCCCCAUCUGCCCCAGCUGUGAUAACCUUCCUGCAGACACAGGACCAGAGCUGGGGACCAGGGGAAGGCAUUUGAAAUCCUGCCAAUCCAGCCAAUUGCUCCAGAAUUAAGCUGCAGUCUUGUCCAUCGAGGAGCUAGACAGCAGUGCAGGAAACUGGGAUCCAGUUUGGGUCUCAGUUUCCAUCAGAUAUUGGGAUGAGGGGGAGGGAGAAGCUGAUUCCUGCACCUGGAAAGACAGCAAAUGUUGAAGAUAGAAGACACAAGUCUCCUCUCUCCAAAAUAUUCUUUUCUUUGGGGGAAAAAAAAACCCCAAAAAACAAAACAAAACAACCAAACAUACAACUACAAAAAGAAAUCCACCAAAACCCCCACAAAAAAAACCAAAUAAAAAAAAAACCAAAAAAAACCCGCACCCCAAAAAAUAAAAAGCAAACAAACAAAAACAAGCCCCAAAGGCAAACAACCCCAACCCACUUCGUAUUUACUACUGAAAUAAAGUUUCAAAAAUUCAGAUAACAUCCAAGAUCCAAGUGCCCAUUACUAUAGAGUCUGGUGAAGUAAAGUGGGGUUUAAGUCACUCCUAUUCAGAAGUACAAAAUUGUUAUAAACAUCUUUUGCUACCUCUAUUUUCUUGAUGUUGAAAA
Long non-coding RNA from Zonotrichia leucophrys gambelii, 799 nucleotides. RefSeq lists it as uncharacterized. The record is from RefSeq and is a predicted model, not a curated record. NCBI's taxonomy places the organism in Eukaryota, Metazoa, Chordata, Aves, Passeriformes, Passerellidae. The transcript has 2 exons.